Molecule: ribosomal RNA, 497 nt
Filed under: uncultured bacterium
Lineage: Bacteria
Description: partial 16S ribosomal RNA
Rfam family: Bacterial small subunit ribosomal RNA
Source: RNAcentral
GAUGAACGCUGGCGGUGUGCCUAAUACAUGCAAGUCGAGCGAACAGACGAGGAGCUUACUCCUCUGACGUUAGCGGCGGACGGGUGAGUAACACGUGGAUAACCUACCUAUAAGACUGGGAUAACUUCGGGAAACCGGAGCUAAUACCGGAUAACAUGUUGAACCGCAUGGUUCAACAGUGAAAGACGGUCUUGCUGUCACUUAUAGAUGGAUCCGCGUCGCAUUAGCUAGUUGGUAAGGUAACGGCUUACCAAGGCAACGAUGCGUAGCCGACCUGAGAGGGUGAUCGGCCACACUGGAACUGAGACACGGUCCAGACUCCUACGGGAGGCAGCAGUAGGGAAUCUUCCGCAAUGGGCGAAAGCCUGACGGAGCAACGCCGCGUGAGUGAAGAAGGUCUUCGGAGCGUAAAACUCGGUUAUUAGGGAAGAACAAAUGUGUAAGUAACUAUGCACGUCUUGACGGUACCUAAUCAGAAAGCCACGGCUAACUACGUG